UAGAUACCCUGGUAGUCCACGCCCUAAACGAUGAAUACUCGCUGUUAGCGAUAUACAGUUAGCGGCUAAGCGAAAGCGUUAAGUAUUCCACCUGGGGAGUACGCCCGCAAGGGUGAAACUCAAAGGAAUUGACGGGGGCCCGCACAAGCGGAGGAGCAUGUGGUUUAAUUCGAUGAUACGCGAGGAACCUUACCCGGGCUUGAAAGUUAGUGAAUCAUUUAGAGAUAGAUGAGUGAGCAAUCACACGAAA
This 250-nucleotide ribosomal RNA is filed under the name uncultured bacterium. Its description in RNAcentral is "partial 16S ribosomal RNA". It matches the Rfam family "Bacterial small subunit ribosomal RNA", at positions 779 to 1033 of the family's 1533-position model. The record is from RNAcentral.